GACGAACGCUGGCGGCGUGCCUAAUACAUGCAAGUUGAGCGCUGAAGGUUGGUACUUGUACCAACUGGAUGAGCAGCGAACGGGUGAGUAACGCGUGGGGAAUCUGCCUUUGAGCGGGGGACAACAUUUGGAAACGAAUGCUAAUACCGCAUAAAAACUUUAAACACAAGUUUUAAGUUUGAAAGAUGCAAUUGCAUCACUCAAAGAUGAUCCCGCGUUGUAUUAGCUAGUUGGUGAGGUAAAGGCUCACCAAGGCGAUGAUACAUAGCCGACCUGAGAGGGGGAUCGGCCACGUUGGGACUGAGACACGGCCCAAACUCCUGCGGGAGGCAGCAGUAGGGAAUCUUCGGCGAUGGACGAAAGUCUGACCGAGCAACGCCGCGUGAGUGAAGAAGGUUUUCGGAUCGUAAAACUCUGUUGGUAGAGAAGAACGUUGGUGAGAGUGGAAAGCUCAUCAAGUGACGGUAACUACCCAGAAAGGGACGGCUAACUACGUG
This 497-nucleotide ribosomal RNA is filed under the name uncultured bacterium. RNAcentral's name for it is "partial 16S ribosomal RNA". It matches the Rfam family "Bacterial small subunit ribosomal RNA", at positions 28 to 507 of the family's 1533-position model. The record is from RNAcentral.